RNAcentral lists this ribosomal RNA (823 nucleotides) under Bacillus sp. (in: firmicutes). RNAcentral's name for it is "bacterial SSU rRNA". It matches the Rfam family "Bacterial small subunit ribosomal RNA", at positions 639 to 1463 of the family's 1533-position model. The record is from RNAcentral. Lineage: Bacteria; Bacillati; Bacillota; Bacilli; Caryophanales; Bacillaceae.
AACUUGAGUGCAGAAGAGGAGAGUGGAAUUCCACGUGUAGCGGUGAAAUGCGUAGAGAUGUGGAGGACACCAGUGGCGAAGGCGACUCUCUGGUCUGUAACUGACGCUGAGGAGCGAAAGCGUGGGGAGCGAACAGGAUUAGAUACCCUGGUAGUCACGCCGUAAACGAUGAGUGCUAAGUGUUAGGGGGUUUCCGCCCCUUAGUGCUGCAGCUAACGCAUUAAGCACUCCGCCUGGGGAGUACGGUCGCAAGACUGAAACUCAAAGGAAUUGACGGGGGCCCGCACAAGCGGUGGAGCAUGUGGUUUAAUUCGAAGCAACGCGAAGAACCUUACCAGGUCUUGACAUCCUCUGACAAUCCUAGAGAUAGGACGUCCCCUUCGGGGGCAGAGUGACAGGUGGUGCAUGGUUGUCGUCAGCUCGUGUCGUGAGAUGUUGGGUUAAGUCCCGCAACGAGCGCAACCCUUGAUCUUAGUUGCCAGCAUUCAGUUGGGCACUCUAAGGUGACUGCCGGUGACAAACCGGAGGAAGGUGGGGAUGACGUCAAAUCAUCAUGCCCCUUAUGACCUGGGCUACACACGUGCUACAAUGGACAGAACAAAGGGCAGCGAAACCGCGAGCUCAAGCUGAUCGUAAAGAUCUGUUAUAUCCCCAGAGCGAACUCUGCAACUGCGUUUCGUUAAGAUGACUUCGCUAGUAAUAGUGUGUCAAGAUGCCGCGGUGGAUACGUUCCCGGGCCGUGUACACACCGCCAGUCACACUGCGUGAGUAUGUAGCACGCGAAACCGAUGAGGCGACCUUUUAGGAGCCAGCCAUCGCAGGU